AAUGAAGGGGGAAGCAUAUACAGCAUAUGUUACUGCAUCUAAUGCUAUUUGUGUGAAUAAGCGUGCAGAUAAUUGUUGCUGGGUAAUGGACAUGACAUCAGAUGUGACGUGACAAUAGCAUUUACUCAUUGUGAAUCUUUCAUUUUUUAUACACAUGAAUAACUUUAGGUGUAACCAUGACUCAACGGGGCUGGACUUUAAGACUCAUCGUGGGCUAUUUAAAUGCAUUUGCUUUCCUCAGUGCUAUUACAUGAAGUCACAGCCACUGACUGUCAGCAAAACGGUAUCUCAAUUCAUUUCUCCACAUUGCCGCAAGGACAGGAAUACUCAUCAGUUAUCACUAAUUUGAAGAUGCUCCUCAAUCUACAUCUUAAUAGAAAACAAUAAAAUAUAAUUAAAGUGAAUAGACUAAAUUAAUGCAGUAUUGAUCAUGUAUACCAUACCUUCAUCCAGAAGUGGAACCAUCGCGAUUCCAGAUAAACUUAGAGAGUCCCUAUCAUGCCUCGAUGUUGUGUGGUCCGAUAUGUUUCAGGCAGUAGACAUUAACCCUGAAGAAGCAAGAGAGCAUGAGUCUGACUUUCUUAAAGGAGCCCCACCAAAGUGGCUUAAUUUAGCAGAGGAAAAAAACUCACCUUUAGUCAAGAGGGACGGCUUUACUGAUUUAACACAGUUAAUUAAGAGGAAAAAAAGAAAAAGCUGUCUGAUCACCCAUUUUUACGCGUCUGUAUUUCCUCCCACGCAUGAGGCCCGCAUGCAGCGUUCAGUUACAGGCUGUUUCUGCUACUCUAUAUUAUUCUGCUGUGCAAUGUUGUUAAAAUUGUGGCAAACAAGCUGUAAGAGCUCAGCAAAACCUUACACUGAAUCUGGAACUGCAUAGUUAUACAAGCCUGUGGUAUUUUGAAUAGCAGGAGAGCGACCGGUCGUGAGCAUUCGUGGCCUUUAAACUUGAAAAUCGGUUACUGUGGAUUUCUGAGGACUAUAAAGAAUCAUGUCCUGUCAAGGUUUAGAUCGGUGAAUUGAUCAAGUUUAUCUCUGUCGCUGCCACCCACACAUUACAGAUCUGUUAUCAUUUAUCUACCCUGUAUGUUCGUUCCAAACCUAUGCUUUGUUUGCUCAAAAAAGAUGCUCCUAGACGCUCCUUUCCAUGCAGUGGAAGUGAAAGCAGACGUCAAAAAGUGUGUCUAUAAUUCUUAAAUCUAUAGAAGCUCAUUUCUGCCAUGGAAUAAAAUAUUUCAACCUUUUAAAAUUAUAACGGUAACUGCAACUUUUUAUCUCACAAUUGCAACAGUUUUUCUUGCAGUUCUGAGUUUAUGUCUCUCAGUUCUGAUUUUGCCAUGUUUGCAAUUCUAAGAAGAAAAGUCAGAAUUGUGAGAAAAAAACAAA
Molecule: long non-coding RNA, 1383 nt
Organism: Cyprinus carpio (common carp)
Lineage: Eukaryota; Metazoa; Chordata; Actinopteri; Cypriniformes; Cyprinidae
Exons: 2
Source: RefSeq, a predicted model, not a curated record